GCGGUUGUGGUGGAACGGCAGACACGCCACUUUGAGGGGGUGGUGAGGGAAACCUCGUAUGGGUUCAAAUCCCAUCAACCGCA
RNAcentral lists this transfer RNA (83 nucleotides) under Succiniclasticum ruminis DSM 9236. It matches the Rfam family "tRNA". From Rfam's summary of the family: Transfer RNA (tRNA) molecules are approximately 80 nucleotides in length. Their secondary structure includes four short double-helical elements and three loops (D, anti-codon, and T loops). Lineage: Bacteria; Bacillati; Bacillota; Negativicutes; Acidaminococcales; Acidaminococcaceae. The record is from Rfam by way of RNAcentral.